RNAcentral lists this ribosomal RNA (1234 nucleotides) under metagenome. RNAcentral describes it as "bacterial LSU rRNA". It matches the Rfam family "Bacterial large subunit ribosomal RNA", at positions 1564 to 2808 of the family's 2925-position model. The record is from RNAcentral.
UGAAUACGAGAUGCUACGGCGUCGAAGCAGUCUAUGUCAUACUUCCAAGAAAAGCUUGCACUGUCAUAAACAAAUAAUGCCUGUACCAUAACCGACACAGGUGGGUAGGUAGAGUAUACUAAGGGGCGCGAGAUAACUCUCUCUAAGGAACUCGGCAAAAUGACUCCGUAACUUCGGGAGAAGGAGUGCCUUAUUUAUAAGGUUGCAAUAACAAGGUCCAAGCAACUGUUUACCAAAAACACAGGUCUCCGCUAAGUCGUAAGACGAUGUAUGGGGGCUGACGCCUGCCCAGUGCCAGAAGGUUAAAGAAGUUGGUUAGCAUCCGCGAAGCUGAUAACUGAAGCCCUGGUGAACGGCGGCCGUAACGAUAACGGUCCUAAGGUAGCGAAAUUCCUUGUCGGGUAAGUUCCGACCCGCACGAAAGGCGUAAUGAUUUGGAUACUGUCUCGGAGAGGGGCUCGGUGAAAUAGACUUGUCUGUGAAGAUGCGGACUACCUGCACCAGGACAGAAAGACCCUAUGAAGCUUUACUGUAACCUGAAAUUGAAAUUGGACUUUACUUGCGCAGUAUAGGUGGGAGGCGUUGAGAAUAUUCUUGCGGGAUUAUUGGAGCCAUCAGUGAGAUACCACUCUUGUAAUGUUAGAUUUCUAACUUUGUAUCAUAUCUGGUCAAAGAACAGUUUCAGGCGGGCAGUUUGACUGGGGCGGUCGCCUCCUAAACGGUAACGGAGGCGCACAAAGGUUUCCUCUGAACGGGUAGAAAUCGUAUCUAGAGUGUAAAGGCAUAAGGAAGCUUGACUGUGAGACCUACAAGUCGAGCAGGGACGAAAGUCGGUCUUAGUGAUCUGACGGUGCUGAGUGGAAAGGCCGUCACUCAACGGAUAAAAGUUACUCUAAGGAUAACAGGCUGAUCUCCCCCAAGAGUUCACAUCGACGGGGAGGUUUGGCACCUCGAUGUCGGCUCAUCGCAUCCUGGGGCGGUAGUACGUCCCAAGGGUUGGGCUGUUCGCCCAUGAAAGCGGUACGCGAGCUGGGUUCAGAACGUCGUGAGACAGUUCGGUCCAUAUCCGGUGUAGGCGUUAGAAUAUUGAGAGGAGCCUUCUUUAGUACGAGAGGACCGAGAAGGACAUACCUCUGGUGUACCAGUUAUCGUGCCAACGGUAAACGCUGGGUAGCUAUGUGUGGAGUGGAUAACCGCUGAAAGCAUCUAAGUGGGAAGCCCACCUCAAGAUAAG